This 1341-nucleotide long non-coding RNA is filed under the name Bos indicus x Bos taurus (hybrid cattle). Its description in RNAcentral is "lncRNA (ENSBIXG00000003035.1)". Lineage: Eukaryota; Metazoa; Chordata; Mammalia; Artiodactyla; Bovidae. The record is from RNAcentral.
GGAAGGGCGAAGCACAGAACUUUCAGAAGUAUGAAGUUAAAGAGCCCCAAUAUCUGAUUUUUUUCGUUUUCAAAACAGUGUCACCCAAGGCCUGUCAAGCGUUGAAAGCCUCACUCUUGGAUUUCCGGUCUUGUCUUCCAAUGUGGUUGGCAUCUGUUGAGUCGAAGGAGCCAGGGGUGGAGGCUGAGAAGACUGAUGAAGAUUUAGAAGCUCUGAUGAAAUGGAUGGGGAAAGGGGCCAACUAUGGUUAUAUAGAAGAAUUGCUGAGCAGUCCUGAGGGCCCGACUGAAAUUGGAACCAUGCACUUGCAGUGGAACCAGACAGGAUGUGUUUUCCUCUAAAAACCCGAGUAUGGGAAGAUCCAGGAAAAGGAAACAUGAAAGAUAGAAGGAACAAAGAGGAAACUUGAUGAAGCCAGGUCACAGAGCGAGCAGAAGGAUCAGGGAUCAGUAGUGCAGCGCAGUAAGUAACAGGAUGGAGGCCAGUGUUGGUUUUGAGGGAGGUCUUGGAGAACCUAUUUUCUCUGAUUAAUAGGCAGGGAGGAUUUUCAGCAAAUUUUCUUUUUCUGAGGGUUAACUGUGUCAGGUCCCAUUAAAACUGACAAAUAAGUAAAAUUUCAGGACAUAUAUUGUGAACAUUCAAAAAUAACAGCAAGGAAGCACGCAAGUGAAGGUCUGUGCUCCCUUAACGUGAAUUCAUUCCUAGCGUAGGCAAUAUAUGGGAAACCAUCUAACUCAAGGAAGGCAAGUAGACUUAGACUGAUAGGCCAACUCCGCCUGCUUGAUGGUGGCUGCUUGGGGUGUUACGUGAACAAUUCUGAGGAUCAGUGUGCAACAGCAUUGCCAUCAAUUUAUGAUGGCCAGUAAGGUCACAGAAAGGAGAGUGGGGAAUAUACACCACAAACUUGCCAUUCAUACAGUGGAUAGAACACAAAAGUUUUUUAUUUUCUCAUGUAUUGUUACUAAAGCAGUAUAAAAUUGUGUUCAAGUCACUUAAUUUGUUAUUAUUAGUUAACCUAAAAUGAAAGUUAAUAUUUACGUGUAUCUAAAUGCAUUGCAAGUAUUUUUAUUUGCAAAGCCCUCUGAACAUAGGAGAUGACACAUAAUUAUAAAUUAUGAUAAUGUGAGCAAUAUACUUUGUCAAAUACAGGUUUAUGUUUUAUCUGAACUACAUUACUAAUAGGAGACAUGUUUGGUUUAAGUGAACUUUGUCCAUGGAUAUAUGAUUCUAAUAUCUUUCCAAUGCUGGAAAUUUUAAAGACAUCUGUACUUUAACAGGCUGACAAAAAUAAGAGAAAUGCAAAGGUUGUUUUAUUUAUUGAGAACAAGAAGAGAACUGUGC